This 253-nucleotide ribosomal RNA is filed under the name uncultured bacterium. Its description in RNAcentral is "partial 16S ribosomal RNA". It matches the Rfam family "Bacterial small subunit ribosomal RNA", at positions 524 to 776 of the family's 1533-position model. The record is from RNAcentral.
UACGUAGGGUGCGAGCGUUGUCCGGAAUUACUGGGCGUAAAGAGCUCGUAGGUGGUUUGUCGCGUUGUUCGUGAAAACUCACAGCUCAACUGUGGGCGUGCGGGCGAUACGGGCAGACUGGAGUACUGCAGGGGAGACUGGAAUUCCUGGUGUAGCGGUGGAAUGCGCAGAUAUCAGGAGGAACACCGAUGGCGAAGGCAGGUCUCUGGGCCACUACUGACGCUGAGACGCGAAAGCGUGGGGAGCGAACAGG